UCUAAUCCUAAUCCAAUCAAAUCUAAUCCUAUAUGGAAAAUAUAAAGUUAUCAAAGAAAGAGAAGAGAUGAAGGGGAGGUUCAAUCGUACGGGCCAAAAGUAGGACGAAUUCAGUUUGGGCCCUUUGCCCCAAACGACCACGAAUUCAUCAUCAUGUCCAUGGAACAGAGUGAAGUCCAAUCCGAUAAGCAGUGCAAAUUGGAACCAGAGAAAAGGCUUCUCCGAUAAGCCAACGCACUUGCAACCUCCUCUUUCGGCUUCUUCUCUUCUCAUCCUCCAUCACGGAAUGAAAAGCUCCUUGUGUUGCGUCACCGUCCUCGCGAUGCUACGUCCAAAAUGUUUCAGGAAAACGCAAGCAUGAUGUCACGGAAUGAAAAGCUCCUUGUGUUGCGUCACCGUCCUCGCGAUGCUACGUCCAAAAUGUUUCAGGAAAACGCAAGCAUGAUGUCGCUCUAUUCUUCUUCACCAGAUGCAAAAUCGGAGAUGAAGCGAGUCAAAUUCAAUUCAAUCUCCAAUUAUCAAUGAUGUUGCAGAUAUUCCAGGAGGCGAUGAACUCAUGCUUGCGGCUGGUAUCUGCUUUGCGUUUACAGUUUGGGGCUGCUGCAUUACAACUAUGGGUUCUUUGGCUACUCCAGGUUGAAGGUUCUUAUAAUCACCUCCAACAGACACAAAAUGAGCAUCAGCCUUAGCAGGUGGGGGUGACACUUGCAACGGUGAUGUCAAUGUACAAGAAACAGAAGGAUUAGAUUCUGCACCAUAGCACCUUUUGUCAACUGGUAUAGUGGCCUGUUGUGGCUUUACCCAAUCAAACUUAGGUGGUAUUGUCUUUAGAGGUUGCAUAUUUUAUUACUGGAAUCUGAGGAUACUCCAUUCGUUAUUGCUUCUUUUGUAUCUUUGUCAUCUAUUCUGUGUUGGUUCGGAGAAGGAACGGGUUUGGUUUGUGACCUUGGGUUGUUGUAAUUUUGUUGGAUAUUCUUUUGUAGGAUUUAUGUUGAAUGAGUGUGAAUUGAGUUUCAAUGUAAAAAAAUGAAUGUGGUUAUGGGCUAUGUGAUGGUUUGAAAUUGUUGUAAUUUUUAAAAUGAAACAUGUGAAUUGGUUUGAACAUUGUAAUUGGAAUUGUGUGUGUUAGGAUGUGAAUUGGAAUCAAUGGUUUAUGUAUAGCAAAUGGAAUUUUGAAUGUAA
This is a long non-coding RNA of Lathyrus oleraceus (garden pea), 1182 nucleotides long. RefSeq lists it as uncharacterized. Lineage: Eukaryota; Viridiplantae; Streptophyta; Magnoliopsida; Fabales; Fabaceae. The transcript has 2 exons. The record is from RefSeq and is a predicted model, not a curated record.